Long non-coding RNA from Zalophus californianus (California sea lion), 414 nucleotides. RefSeq lists it as uncharacterized. The transcript has 4 exons. Lineage: Eukaryota; Metazoa; Chordata; Mammalia; Carnivora; Otariidae. The record is from RefSeq and is a predicted model, not a curated record.
GUUCCACACAGCUCCCGGAGCAAGAUUUGUUGAAAGAGAGUCAAAGAUGCAAGGUCAGCUGUGACGAGUAAUACUGGCUGAGAAGUACCAUGAUCAUCAGGAGUUCUCUCUACAAAGUCUACUGAAAGCAACUCAGGGAGAGGUUUUGGGUUAUUUGUCAUUAUUUGCCAAAUCAUAUAUUUGGUUUUGCCCUGCAAACACCAAUGAGUAUGUUCUCAAUUAUGACUUUUAUUCUUUGACUACUACAUUGAAAACAGCCAAAGCAAAUGCAAGUUGAGGAAGUACAGUUUGGCAGCCCUCAGUGUGAAGCUGCAGCAGUAAUUCUGUCGGAUGCCAAAACUAAAAUGAAUGUGACUGUGCCGUGCCCAGCUCUGAGCUGUGGCUGUAAUGAGAUUUGAAUGGGAAGCCCCGGAC